Non-coding RNA from Salvia hispanica, 422 nucleotides. NCBI's taxonomy places the organism in Eukaryota, Viridiplantae, Streptophyta, Magnoliopsida, Lamiales, Lamiaceae. The record is from RefSeq and is a predicted model, not a curated record.
GGUUUCAUCCUUCGUGUAUGGGCAUGGCCAUUGAAGAAGCGAAGAAAUUGGACCAUUUCUUAUGCUCUGAUUGUUCAUCCGAUGAUGAUGCCAAAAGGUCUUUAAACUCUUUUCCGGUGUCACCUGCUGAUGAGAGAAAGGUGGAGCCGAAGCGCAGAAAGAGGUGACACGUUGGUACAGAGGCAUCACGAGGUUGUGCCCAUUUCUUGCAUAGCACAGCACAUAGUAGCUCUAGCAUAUUUGUUUGUACAGUGACAGCGGCUUUUUCCCACGGAUAUCUAUGGCUACCUUCGUUGUCUAUUUACCGCGUCUGCACUGACUUGAGAUAUUUAACUCUUCGCCUCCUUAUCGUGUGCACGAACGCGAAUGGAGCGCUAAAAACACACGAAGCGUUGUCUUUAUUAGGAUGCAGAGGGUGUCUA